This is a long non-coding RNA of Triticum aestivum (bread wheat), 415 nucleotides long. RefSeq lists it as uncharacterized. NCBI's taxonomy places the organism in Eukaryota, Viridiplantae, Streptophyta, Magnoliopsida, Poales, Poaceae. The record is from RefSeq and is a predicted model, not a curated record. The transcript has 3 exons.
GGAAAAUAUAGAGCUACAUAGGAAAUUAAACAUCGUUCAUCAAGAGAAUACGGAAUUACAAAACAAGUUAAAUGAUCAAGGAGCAGUGAACAUGGGAAUCACAAGUCCUUUUACCAAGUGCAACAUUACUGCUCCAACGGACAAAAAUUCAGUUCGCCUGGAUUCAUGCCACCCAGAUUGGGAUGAUGAACCAGAAUCGUCCACCUUCUGCAUACUAUCACUAUCCGGAGACUGGCUCCGACAUGCGUUGCUCGAAGUAUCCAAUACAAGGACCGUCAGUAGAUAUAUCAACCGAAUUAGACUAAGUCUCCCAUAUAAGGGUACGUUGAAGAUCAAAUUCUGUGUAAAUCAAGUGCUAGUUGUUGUUUCUCCACUAAGUAUGUUCCCAAGAAUUGUAUGCAUAAUUAGAUUUACC